UGAUUUUCAUACAAAAACAUGAGCAUAUUGAUUUGAAAUCAUGUUUAAUGGUUUUAUAUUUCGAAAUUAUGUAUGAUGAUUUUUAAGUAAUUUAUGGUUUAUUGAUCUUGAUGGUUUUUAUGACGAAAUUUAUUUUUUGGUCCAAAACGAUUGAUAAUAUAUAUAGUUUUUGACAUAAAAAGGACAAAGAAAUGCUUAUAUGAAACAAACUAAAAAGAGAAAAUCUUUCUCCUUGAAACAUUUCUCUACUUUAUCAAUUUUUUCAAAAAGGAGAUUAAUGAAUCUAUUUGUAUCACUUUUGUGAAUCUCUUAAAAAUGAUCUUGAU
This 326-nucleotide long non-coding RNA is filed under the name Musa acuminata (dwarf banana). Its description in RNAcentral is "long non-coding RNA (MACU_LNC007137)". The record is from RNAcentral. Lineage: Eukaryota; Viridiplantae; Streptophyta; Magnoliopsida; Zingiberales; Musaceae.